CCUACGGGGGGCUGCAGUCGAGAAUCAUUCACAAUGGGGGAAACCCUGAUGGUGCGACGCCGCGUGGGGGAAUGAAGGUCUUCGGAUUGUAAACCCCUGUCAUGUGGGAGCAAAUUAAAAAGAUAGUACCACAAGAGGAAGAGACGGCUAACUCUGUGCCAGCAGCCGCGGUAAUACAGAGGUCUCAAGCGUUGUUCGGAAUCACUGGGCGUAAAGCGUGCGUAGGCUGUUUCGUAAGUCGUGUGUGAAAGGCGCGGGCUCAACCCGCGGACGGCACAUGAUACUGCGAGACUAGAGUAAGGGAGGGGGAACCGGAAUUCUCGGUGUAGGAGUGAAAUGCGUAGAUAUCGGGAGGAACACUCGUGGCGAAGGCGGGUUCCUGGACAUUAACUGACGCUGAGGCACGAAGGCCAGGGGAGCGAAAGGGAUUAGAUACCCGUGUAGUC
RNAcentral lists this ribosomal RNA (446 nucleotides) under uncultured bacterium. RNAcentral describes it as "partial 16S ribosomal RNA". It matches the Rfam family "Bacterial small subunit ribosomal RNA", at positions 338 to 795 of the family's 1533-position model. The record is from RNAcentral.